UAUUUGAAAGAGGAAGAUCAGGGACCACCAUAUUUAAUAGACUUUCAGAUCCCAUUGCUUCCAAGACGUGUCUCUAUGUUGUUUCCUCUAAGAAAUAACACAAAAUACCACCAAUUACAAUUUCAAGAUGUUAACGAUUGGAAGCAGGCCCUGCUUUCAGAGCUUUUAAAUCGAGAGAAACUGUAUGACAGAGUUGAUGAAAUAUGGUACUGUUCUGAGUGUCUACUGUAUCCAAGGAAUGAACAAGGAUGUGCCUUCUUUAUUCAUUUAAUUCUUUCAACAGACCCAAGAGGUCUGUUUUUGGGAAGAGGUGAACCAGUAUCACCUGGAGGACAGGCAUACCUGAGAGCCCCGGGGAGUUAUUUUCUGUGCCUCAACUGGAGCUACCUCCUCCUUCAGUGACCAUUUCCCUCAAGGACCAAGAGACCUCCUCAGAUGAGGUGUGCAUGUAUCUGCGGGGAAGGUUUUAAGUUUGGCUGUGUCCCAACACGCUCUGAGGCAGAGGUUUGGGGCUUAGCCAGUCAGACCUCCUUUUUACCUGUCUGACUGAGACUUCCCAGAAGAGCUCUGGAAAGUCAGAGAAAAUGUCAGCUGGAGUGUUUGAGCAAGCAGAAACAGGAUGUAUUUCACACUGAAGGUAAUUACAUGGUGGUGUGUAGUAAAGGGGACUGAGGCAGUUGAAGUCACACAACAGAGAUGCCUCCGAUUGGCUGAGGAAUGUUUCUCCGUCGUGGAUAAAUAUUUUGCAGGAGUUACCUGGGUGAAAACCAGCUUCCUGUAAAGGAUUGAUUAAAAAACAAAUAAAUAAAUACUCUUGA
Bubalus bubalis (water buffalo) is the source of this 818-nucleotide long non-coding RNA. RefSeq lists it as uncharacterized. NCBI's taxonomy places the organism in Eukaryota, Metazoa, Chordata, Mammalia, Artiodactyla, Bovidae. The record is from RefSeq and is a predicted model, not a curated record. The transcript is spliced from 2 exons.